RNAcentral lists this ribosomal RNA (200 nucleotides) under uncultured bacterium. Its description in RNAcentral is "partial 16S ribosomal RNA". It matches the Rfam family "Bacterial small subunit ribosomal RNA", at positions 524 to 723 of the family's 1533-position model. The record is from RNAcentral.
GACGAACCGUGCGAACGUUGUUCGGAAUCACUGGGCUUAAAGGGCGCGUAGGCGGGUCAUCAAGUCGGGGUGAAUACUUCAGCUAACUGGAGAACAGCCUUCGAUACUGGUGGCCCACGAGGGAGGUAGGGGUCGUGUGGAACUUCCGGUGGAGCGGUGAAAUAGCGUUGAUAUCGGAAGGAACGCCGGUGGCGAAAGCG